GACGAACGCUGGCGGCGUGCUUAACACAUGCAAGUCGAACGGAAAGGCCCUGCUUUUGUGGGGUGCUCGGGUGGCGAACGGGUGAGCAACACGUGAGUAACCUGCCCUUGACUUUGGGAUAACUUCAGGAAACUGGGGCUAAUACCGGAUAGGAGCUCCUGCUGCAUGGUGGGGGUUGGAAAGUUUCGGCGGUUGGGGAUGGACUCGCGGCUUAUCAGCUUGUUGGUGGGGUAGUGGCUUACCAAGGCUUUGACGGGUAGCCGGCCUGAGAGGGUGACCGGCCACAUUGGGACUGAGAUACGGCCCAGACUCCUACGGGAGGCAGCAGUGGGGAAUAUUGCACAAUGGGCGGAAGCCUGAUGCAGCAACGCCGCGUGCGGGAUGACGGCCUUCGGGUUGUAAACCGCUUUCGCCUGUGACGAAGCGUGAGUGACGGUAAUGGGUAAAGAAGCACCGGCUAACUACGUG
Molecule: ribosomal RNA, 468 nt
Filed under: uncultured bacterium
Lineage: Bacteria
Description: partial 16S ribosomal RNA
Rfam family: Bacterial small subunit ribosomal RNA
Source: RNAcentral